This 468-nucleotide ribosomal RNA is filed under the name uncultured bacterium. RNAcentral describes it as "partial 16S ribosomal RNA". It matches the Rfam family "Bacterial small subunit ribosomal RNA", at positions 28 to 507 of the family's 1533-position model. The record is from RNAcentral.
GACGAACGCUGGCGGCGUGCUUAACACAUGCAAGUCGAACGGAAAGGUCCUGCUCUUGUGGGGUGCUCGAGUGGCGAACGGGUGAGUAACACGCGAGUAACCUGCCCUUGACUUUGGGAUAACUUCAGGAAACUGGGGCUAAUACCGGAUAGGAGCUCCUGCAGCAUGGUGGGGGUUGGAAAGUUUCGGCGGUUGGGGCUGGACUCGCGGCUUAUCAGCUUGUUGGUGGGGUAGUGGCUUACCAAGGCUUUGACGGGUAGCCGGCCUGAGAGGGUGACCGGGCACAUUGGGACUGAGAUACGGCCCAGACUCCUACGGGAGGCAGCAGUGGGGAAUAUUGCACAAUGGGCGGAAGCCUGAUGCAGCAGCGCCGCGUGCGGGAUGACGGCCUUCGGGUUGUAAACCGCUUUCGCCUGUGACGAAGCGUUAGUGACGGUAAUGGGUAAAGAAGCACCGGCUAACUACGUG